RNAcentral lists this unclassified non-coding RNA (2640 nucleotides) under Homarus americanus (American lobster). RNAcentral describes it as "uncharacterized LOC121856711, transcript variant X1". The record is from RNAcentral. Lineage: Eukaryota; Metazoa; Arthropoda; Malacostraca; Decapoda; Nephropidae.
UUUUUUUUAUUGUUGUUUCCUUACAGUUUCAUGAAAUUUAAGCUCUUUUAUACCAGAAAAUGUGAAAUUAAGUAUACGUUACAUUCUAGCAUUACACGGUGAACUAGAAAUUUAUAAAAUCAUUUUACAGUGGACCAAGUGUACGGUUUAGGACCAGGCAGUGAGUCACUCUUGGCGGGCUCCCUUGAAGAGUCACCUACUGUAUGUUACUACGGGGAUAGGUUUAUGGUUUAAUAAAUAAGCUAACGUACAGUUUAUUUGGAUGGGGUACUGGUCAGUUCAUAAUAAGAAUCAUCUGUAAAAACAAAAUGGGAACUGCACAUUUUACGAAGUUUUGGUCCUCUAUCAUUAAUGACAGCGGUAUGCAGGAUCAGUUAAAGUCUGUAAUGUCCAUAGAAGAUGAAGAAGAACGGGCACUGCAGCUGUUGACUCGAACUCUUUUCAUUUUAGUAAUGGAAAUCAAGCAUGAACGUGAUGAAGCUAAUAAGAAUCUGAACCAGUUGAUGGAAAAUAUUAGGACAUGCAAGUCGUGUGGAAUGAUGACAAAAUUUGAUGCACACUGCGAGACUAGAAAAAAUGCUGAUAUGAAUUGUAAUGGGCUAAAACAUCAAAAAGAGGUACCUAAUUUAAGUUUUCCAGAGAAUUGUAUGGAAAUGGAAACAAGUAAAAAACUGAUACUGGUAGAGGGAGAUGAUAUUGCCAGUGAAGAAGGCCAUAUUGCUCCACAGUUGAAAGACCCAAUGGGAUUGAAUUAUUCCAAAAUAAAAAAUAUAAAAUAUCGAUGUUUAUCCAGAUACCCAAAAGGAAACAGUCCAAACAUUGGCCAAGAGGAUGAAGAAAAUGAAGAAAGUAUAAUAAAAUCCGAGACUGAAGAGCAAAAUAUCCCUAAAAUUCUUGCUCCUGAAACAUUGUCUCUGGAUGAAAAUGAGUUUCAUGUAAGUUCAUCACAGAAAAGAACUUUUGAAACAAAUAUUGUGAGUGUCCCAGAGACUCUUGCUAUUGAGAAUACAAGAUCCAUCGAUAAUGAAUGUGAGGUGGUAUCUAAUGAGAAAAGUAAUCCAGUUCUUGAUUCACGUGUUGGUAUUGAAGGAGAAUUGAGAAGUCCUUCAAGAAAUCAUACAGGAAUGGCUGACUCCUUGAACCAACGAAGUCCUGUGUUAGGGAAGAAAACUCGACAAGCAACCUCCAAAUCAUUGAAGCAAAGCAUUAGAAUGGAUUUUCCAAAAGCACUGGACUUUGAAGAGUUUAAUAAAGAGUCACAUAAACCAGUGGAAAUCAACACCCCAGAAUCCAAAGUUACAAAAGUCACUUCCACGCCAAAGUUCUCUCCCCGAGUAUUCACCCACAGCUUAUCAACCUCGUUUAAUGAUUCUGACAAUACUUCACCUUCACUUUUGCCACCUGUUAAGACUAAAGCCAUUAGAUGCAAUACUAAAGAAAAUUAUUUUCCAUCUUUACCAGCAGCUCUGAAUAAGAUUGAAAAUCAAGGUCAAUCUACCUCAAAAGGAAGAAAAGAAUUUCAGAAGUCCAUAUCAAGUUAUAAUAUGCCUCUCCCAUCAAUAAAACCUUUCAGUUUAAGGAGACACCAAAGUGUAGACAAGCAGAGUAAGAGGUCUUCUUACAAGAUGAGUAUAGACCCACCUGAAGUACAGAAGAAUUAUAAACAAACAAAAAUAUCUGAAAGUAUCUUCCAAAAGAAGACAGAUGUAGCACUAUUUACAGGUGGUGUAGCAAGGAAAGGGCUCACCUUCCUUGAUGAUGAAAAGGCUGCUGUUAGUGCAGCACUGGAGGAGUCACUCAAGACCAAGGCUAUAUAUGAUAUGAUGCGUAAAAAGCAAAAAGGAUUACUGAAUGCUGAAUCCACAUGUGAUAUUAAAAAAAUGAAAGGAGCUCAUACUUUGAUUGAUGGUGUAGAUGGUCAGAACCUGGACCCAACUUCAUCCCCAGUGUCUCGUGGAGAAAUAAAUACCUCUAACCCACGAAAGGAAAAAUCAAAGGUUUGCAGCCCCAUAAAAAGUCCCUUGCUAACUCCAAGAAAGCAUAAGUCUGGCCCAGGAAAGAGACAACAAGAAAGCCCAUGUAAAGAAAGAGGAAAUCCAAGGAAGAGAAAAAAAAUAGAGGAAAAACCAAAAAAGGGAAAAGAAGAGGAAAUUUUGGAAAUAGAUCAGCUGCUAGACCAAGUCAAUUGCAGCCCACCACAGAAAAAAUACAGUGGAGAAUAAACCUAACAAACUUAAAUCACCAGAGAAAAAGUCAUUGUCAAAGCCAAGAAAUAAAUUAUUUGAUAAUAGCUUUGAUAUCAUCCCGGUUAAAAAUGCAGAACCUGAGUUUGCACACCAGGGAGAGGUUGUAAGGAAGAAGGCAGAUCGUAAACAGUUGGAAGGCUGGCAGUGUCAUGAGUGUGAACAAUGGUAUGAAGCAGAAGAUCUUAACCCAGAGGAGAAAAAGAUGAUGAUGAACAAAUGUUCCCGACACAAGAGCAAGUAUAACCCAUUGAGGAACACACCUAAAAACUUUUGGAAUCCUGACUGGAUUGACGAAGGUUGAUGAGAGGUGGUAAUACACAUGGUAUUAUAAUGAUUGUUUUUUGUUUUUUGUUUUUACAUUGCACUUAAAGAAUACAAAACAUAUAAGACAGUA